GUCUAUGGUCAGACUGCUCUGAAUUUCACACCUGAUUUCAUAUGAUCUCAGAAGCUAAGCAGGGUCAGACCUGGUUAGUACUUGAAUGGGAGAUUUUGGGUAUUACUAAGUACUGUAGAAG
RNAcentral lists this ribosomal RNA (121 nucleotides) under Meriones unguiculatus (Mongolian gerbil). Lineage: Eukaryota; Metazoa; Chordata; Mammalia; Rodentia; Muridae. The record is from RNAcentral.